CGGGUUUUCCUGCAAUGAUAAUUUUAACCGUUGGGCGGCGCUUUUCUUGUCUUUGCCAUAGGAUGCACUCCCUUGGCGAAGCAAUCUUGAUGCUGUUUCACGGUCCACUCUGCAAUGACGAGAAGACAUAUCCAAACCAGAGACGUAGAAGUGACGGCCCAGAAUUGCAUGGAAUGGCGCAGGAUGGUCCACAAGAGACGUUGCCUUGAUGCAGACCACUUGACACAACGAUGAAGAGACCUUAUCAAGUAUCAAGAAACCGCAUUGAUCUGGAAGUCUGCAGCAGCAGCACAGAAUAGGUCACGUUUUACUGAUCAGAUUAAACAACCAGCUUAGGAGGGUUAAAUUGACAAAAAAAGUCUGAGCAGGACAAAGGAUCACAAAGGUCAUAAACUUAGAACAUGCGAGGGCAAGAGAAGUAGUAUGGGGAUUACAACCCCUAUAUCCACCUACCAAAUUUCAUCAGGAUCAAUCAAAGGCGCUUUUCGAGUGAUGCUGUUCACAGACAGACAGAAAGACAGACAGACAGACAGACAGACAGACAGACGUACAAGCCUAAAACAUAACCUUGUAAUUCUGGCAAAGGUAAUAAAUAUAUCUACCUUCGAAACGCACUUUGAAUACGCACAAAGCUCGCUCCAGGCGCGUAGGAAAUCGCCAGGUCAAGGUUUCGGGUCAAAGUUCAAAUCUGACCGGAUAUCUGUAAUCCGCACUGAAGGCCUCGUUCCGGUAUUACUGCGCGGGUGGGCACUCAGAAGUAUUCCCUCCGAAAUAUGAAUGGGGCCCCAAAAUCGUGUGUUUAUGU
Branchiostoma floridae (Florida lancelet) is the source of this 805-nucleotide long non-coding RNA. RefSeq lists it as uncharacterized. The transcript is spliced from 3 exons. The record is from RefSeq and is a predicted model, not a curated record. NCBI's taxonomy places the organism in Eukaryota, Metazoa, Chordata, Leptocardii, Amphioxiformes, Branchiostomatidae.